This 254-nucleotide ribosomal RNA is filed under the name uncultured bacterium. Its description in RNAcentral is "partial 16S ribosomal RNA". It matches the Rfam family "Bacterial small subunit ribosomal RNA", at positions 524 to 776 of the family's 1533-position model. The record is from RNAcentral.
UACGGGGGGAGCAAGCGUUGUUCGGAUUUACUGGGCGUAAAGGGCGCGUAGGCGGUCAGCACAAGUCAGUUGUGAAAUCCCCGGGCUUAACUCGGAAAGGUCAACUGAUACUGUGCGACUAGAGUGCAGAAGGGGCAACUGGAAUUCUCGGUGUAGCGGUGAAAUGCGUAGAUAUCGAGAGGAACACCUGCGGCGAAGGCGGGUUGCUGGGCUGACACUGACGCUGAUGCGCGAAAGCCAGGGGAGCGAACGGG